GAUGAAGAACGUAGCGAAAUGCGAUAAGUAAUGUGAAUUGCAGAAUUCAGUGAACCAUCGAAUCUUUGAACGCACAUUGCGCCCGGCAGUAAUCUGCCGGGCAUGCCUGUCCGAGCGUCAUUUCUAUCCUCGAGCGAGUCCAGCAUCUAGGUGCUGGGCCUCGCCCGGCGUUGGAGCACUACGGGAAGCCCUGUGCUGUCCCCCGUAGGCCCCGAAAUGAAGUGGCGGUCCUGCCGCGGCGCCCCCUGCGUAGUAUAACAGCUCGCUUCGGGACCCGGUGGAGGCCUGCCGUCAAACCUAUACUCUCUAAGUUUGACCUCGGAUCAGGUAGGGUUACCCGCUGAACUUAAGCAUAUCAAUAAGCGGAGGA
This 370-nucleotide unclassified non-coding RNA is filed under the name soil metagenome. Its description in RNAcentral is "partial contains 5.8S ribosomal RNA, internal transcribed spacer 2, and large subunit ribosomal RNA". The stretch from base 1 to 120 matches the Rfam family "5.8S ribosomal RNA", at positions 35 to 154 of the family's 154-position model. The record is from RNAcentral.